AAUCUCUGCCUAUGCCCAGAACCCACUAUUGCUCCAAUUUCUUAAACUUUUAAUUAAUUUCUUUGUUUUAUUAGCUCAACUGUCUCCCAUCCUGUGUCUCUCUGGUGUUUCUCCUCGCAUAGGUCUGAGGGCAUUAGCUUGACUCUUGGAGCAGCUGGGGCCCCUGAGGCUCAGGCAUGAAGUCGGAGCAGGUGAGGGCAGCCUGUGGAGGCCUCCAGAGGUGGGUAGUUGUUCAUUUUUCUACUCGACUUCCCUAAUUGUUGGCCUUUUAUAACUGAGAGUGCUGGUCUGGUCUGGGUGUGGGGUGUCUGUGUGUUUCCGGGCUGGGCCUGGGGUGGAAGUGGUGGGGGAAGCUUUGCUCCCGUGAGAUCCGAUACGCCCUUAUCCACCGGGACAUGUGCACUGGAUUCAGCUGGAGGGGCCCUUGCAGACUGUUGCUGGUUCGGCCGUGUGUGCCCACCCUGUUGGGUUUCUCCUGUUCUCUGCAUUAACUGCGGCUUCUGCCCAGUUUAAACAGAAGAUUAUUGAACUGGAAGCAGCAGCCGAUUGCUGUUUGCAGUAUCUUUACAGCUCCAAGUGGCCCACAGGGGAAGGCCAUUAAUUUGGAUCUAAGCGUUUUGGUGUCAACCCAGAAAAAGAGAGGUGUAAUCAGUUACAACACUUGGCAUCCCCAGGAUCAGACGAGCCUGUUGUUCAGGAGCAGCACAACUAUUCCUGGUGUUGAGAACAAAGAGGAAUUUCUCCCAUGGGUCCGCACAAAGAGGACAUUCAGUGAUUCUGGGAAGGACGCCCUCAACAGCAUCUUUCUCGCCAUGCAGCACUGAGAUAAUGAAAUCUUUGCAGUGGAGGCAGGGGAAGUCAUCACGGCGCGCUGUCCUGACCCUGAGCCCGAGAAUUUUAAAGGAAACAAUACGGAGUAGAGGAAAACACUGUCAUGGAGUGAGGAGCCAGUAUCAGCCUGGCCAGUGAAUCAAGCGUGAAUUCCUCCUUUCCUGGGGAGGAGGAAGAACCCUGUCCAUGUUUAUUGAGCACCAUCUGUGUGCACUGUUUCAUGAGGUUUUGCAAUGGCCCUGUGAAAUAGGCACUAUUAUUCAUCUUGCCUAUACUGAGCAAAUCAGCGUAUGGGUUAUAUAACUUGCUAAGGUCACAUGGCUGGUGAAUGGCAGAGUUAGGAUUGAACCCAGGUCCAUUUCCAAUUCACACUCAU
This 1207-nucleotide long non-coding RNA is filed under the name Equus caballus (horse). Its description in RNAcentral is "lncRNA (ENSECAG00000055973.1)". Lineage: Eukaryota; Metazoa; Chordata; Mammalia; Perissodactyla; Equidae. The record is from RNAcentral.